GGAGGCUCACAUUAUCCUAACCGCACAUUUCUCAAUCCAAUGGCUAAAAAACUAAUAACACAAAUAGUUUGGUGCUACUGAUAGUAUUACGUCUAGUUCUAUUAAUAUAUAUAUAUAAAUAUAUAUAUAUAUAUAUAUAUAGAUCGGCUACUAUGCUAUUAAUAGCACGAAGCACUUGGUGCUACCAAGUUUUCCGCCGUUAGAUCUACCCUUUGGAUCAUUUUCACCCGUUAGAUCAUACUAUUCAACCAACCACCCACUCAACCCUAGGGGGCCCACAUCAUCCUAACCACACAUCUCUUAAUCCAAUGGCCAAAAACUUGGUAGCACCAACGACUUGGUGCUAUUAAUAGCAUAGUAGCCUAGUUCUAUAUGAGUCCGGCUACUAUGCUAUUAAUAGCACGAAGCACUUGGUGCUACCAAGUUUUCCGCCGUUAGAUCUACCCUUUGGAUCAUUUUCACCCGUUUUCUAGAACAUUUAAAACUUCUAGAAAUUAAAUUUUAUAAUUUUUCGAUAUCAUUUACCUUACAAUCAAUAGCUCACAAAAUUGACAAAUUUUAACGGCCGGUAUGUGAUACUUGUUAGUUUAACGGUGUAAAAGAAUCGAAAUAGCUUGAAUUUUUUAUAGAAAAUUAUAUUCAUUACCUAGAUAAAGAUCAAUAACCCCGAUCUUAAAUUGAAGGAUCCGAUCAUCUAUUUUUAGGACGUCAUUCGAUUUUGGCCGUUCAUUUUAUAUCCACUUAAUGGACUUUAUAAUGAUUUCGAAAAGUUACGAAAUUUAUUUUCUAUAAGUUUCAAAUACUCUAGAUCAUGUUUAACGGUGUGGAUCGUCGAUUCGGAAGCCUGAACAUCGAAAACAACUUAUGAGUACGAAGGACUCUAUACUCAUAAGAGUAUAGUAGCCCUACUAUAUAUAUAUAUAUAUAUAUAGUGAGGCUACUAUGCUUCUGGAAGCACGGAGCCUUCCGUGCUUCCAGAUCGUUUUCUAUGUUGCGACUUUCGAAUCGUCGAUCGGCUCCAUUAAACUUGAUCUAUAGUAUUUGAAGUACUUAGAAAAUAAAAUUUGCAAUUUUUCGAUAUCAUUUGCCUAGUGAUCGAAAGAACUCAAAAUCAAUAAUUUUAAUGGCCGUGGUGAGCUGUUUGCAAGUUUAAUGGUGUAGAAAUAUUCAAAUCAUAUGAAAUUUUGAUAGAAAAUUCUUUAUAUUAUAUAAAACAAGAUCAAUAUCUUUGAUCUAAAAUUUUAAUGUCAUAUUAUCACAUUUUGUAAGAUUUUUAUUUUCAGCCGUUGAUUUUGAGCCCCUUAGUUCGCUAGGCAAAUGAUAUCGAAAAAUUGCAAAAUUUAUUUUCUAGGUACUUCAAAUACUCUAGAUCAAGUUUAACGGAGCCGAUCGACGAUCCGAAAGUCGCAAUAUUAAAAACGAUCUGAAAGCAGGAAGGUUCCAUGCUUCCAAAGCAUAGAGCUUCACUCAUAUAUAUAUAUAUAUUAUAUUAUUAUAAUAUAUAUAUAUAUAUAAUAAUUUAAAACUUUAUAUUUAUAUUAUAAAUAUUUUUAUAUGAAAGAAACUAAAAUAUAUUUGAAAUUCAGAAUUGGAUAUGGGUAUAUGAUGUAUAAAUUUUUUUCAGUGUUUAGGUUGCCCGGUUAGUAUAUAUAUAUAUAUAUUAAAAAAAUAUAUAUUUUAAGUUUUUAGAAAAUAUGGCUUGUUUCAAAUUACUUAUUGUUUCAAGGCGCGGAUAGGAGAAAGCUUGAUGGUUGACAUUUGAGGUUUUAACUUCGAAAGUUAGUAGCUUUACAUUUUUAGCUAAGUUUAUUGUUGAAAAUAAUAAACGAAAUGAAAAGCAUGCUAUCUUUUUCUUUUAAAAGAAAACGAUUAUUUCAAAUUCUUUUAAUAUUAGAGGAUAAAGAAAAGAAGAGUUGCCUAUAUUAAAAGUGCUAUUCAAGAUAACUUAAUAUGAUCGAACCGUCCCUAGAACAAGUGGCAAAGAGCUUGGUGGUUGGUAUCCGAGACCGAACUUCGAAUCCUAGUUGAUUCACAUUUUCAGCCGGAUAGCGUACUAUCUAUCUCUCAAAAAAAGAAGAAGAAGAUAACUUAACAUGAGAUACAAAUAACAAUUUUAUUAAACAAUGUAUCUCAUUUAUAUAAUUUUUUUAUUUAGUAUACCCAGCUUCAUCUUCCAAUUUCUACUGGUAAAAUUCUAUUUCCAUAUCUCAAACCUAUUUCACAUAUUGAUACUGCAAUAAUUAAAAGAGAGUUGAUACGGACACAUUAAAUUUUGUUAAGCCCAAAGUGAAUUUACCUUUUCUUUUCCAUCACUCUACAAUUAUACUCUCAUUCAGUGGAAAGUAACUUUUCACUUAUGAGGGAACCGGAUUAAAUUGAGCAAAAUUAAAAGUAAUUAUUUUUCAAGCCAAACGCGCAUCACUUUUUUUUAAAAAAAAAGGCAACAUGCUACCCGCUUCAUUCAUUCAGAAGAUGAAUUAAACUACAUGGGUGAGGCAACACAGACCUCGAGGAUGGCGGAAAAAAAAAAACAACAUUAUUGCACUGAGCGCAGUUUCUCCCAAAGACUCAUCAACAGUUUAAUCUUAUAAAUUUUAAUGAUGGGGUCAGGCUGUGUUGUCUUGAAGAUCACUCCAUUCCUAAUCUCCCAAAGGGCCCACCAGCAGGCUAUUAGUCCAUUUAGGUCGGUGCAUCACUUUCUUAAAAAUCAACUUCUCUCUCUUUUUCUUUUUCUUUUGAUUUUAACAGGAAUGCCAUCUAAGCUACAGAGAAAAAAAAAUCCCUGAAAAAGAAGAUAGAAAGAGAGAAAACAUAUAACUUCUUUAUUUUUGAAUAAAAUUACAGAAAUUAUAUUAGAACCUAAUUAUUAGAUUAAAAUACUAUUAAUAGCACGAAGAAGUCAUUGAUACUAUUAAGUUUUCGGUCUUUAAAUAAAAAAAUAUGUAGUUAGGAUGAUAAUAGUCUUAUUAGGGUUUAGUAAAUUGAUAUAAUAGUAUAAUUUAAAGGAAGAAAAUGAUCAAAUUAGUCGAUACUAAAUGCUUAGUGCUAUCAAUUAUAUAAUAUAAUUUUUUAAUAAAAUAUUUUGUCGUAGGCAGUGCAUGCACGGCCUACGUUCUCUCGGCCCAGCGGGAGUGGAGGACGAGGCUAUCUCCGGACGGCCCACGGUCACCAAAUUUGGACGGCCAAGAUCGCUUUGUAGGCCGGCGAAACCGCAGAUCGCAGCCGCACACCUCCUACAGUAAAAAAAAACAACCCGUGGGUCCCACCCCCAUAAUUUCCUAUCCCUGUCGUCAACUGACAAAAAUUAUACGGGGGAAUAGCCCGAAACAAGUUUGUUGGGGCCACUCCCGGAUGUGCGCCACGUGGCAGCCGAUCCACGCGGAUCCAUCGGUCUCGUUGCUCUCCCUGUUGGGAGAGCAGUCUAUUUUUUUUUUGUGCACCCGGUGCACUAGUUUGUUUUAAAAUUUUAUUUUUUAUUUUUUAAUUAUAAUUUAAUAAUAUAUAUUAUGAUAUUUUUAAAAUAUAUGUAAAAUAAUUUAGAAUUUAUGAUUUUACAUAUAUAUUUAAAUAUCAUAAAAUAUAUAUCUAUUAUAUUAAAUUAAANAUUUAAAAAUAAAAAUAGUGCACCGGGAGCACCGAAAAAAAUCCGCUGCUUUCCCAAGAGGCAGGGCAGCGGGGACGGUGGCCCGGGGUGCCACGCGGCGCCCAUCCAGACUGUCCUCAAAAAAAAAAUUUUGGACAUGUUGUCCAUAAAUUUUUUGCCCGUCAACGUAAGAAGCAGAAGCAGAAACCGUAGCUCGGUAGCUCCCCUCCAAAACCAAACGCAGCAUCGGCAUCGGUUCCUCCGUCCCUUCGCCUUCCCCGCCUCAUCCGUCCCCACCAAACCAAAGCAUCCGCAUACUUCAAAAAAAGCAAAAAAAAAAAGAAAAAAAAAGAAAAAACAAGAAAAAAAAAAAGAGAGACAUAUAUAUAGGACUCAACGAGGAGACUCGGAGGUGCGCCGUGCGAUGGCUCUCCACGCCGCCGCUUCCUCCGUCGCCGCGUUCGCUUCGAACUCCCGACUCCGCCCCACCAACUCUCCCUCGCCGAGGGCUUUCCCCACAACGCCUCUUUUCCCUUCUUCUUCCUCCUCCUCCUCUUUCGCCCCUCUCCGUACACAUACAGGUUUCGCUCUUUCUUCCAAACUAUGCAUAUUUCAACUGAAUUUAUGUCGCAAGCAAAGAUUAUAUUAAUCUCUAAUUUUGCCUUUAUUAUCGUUGCUAUACCAAAAAAUAAAUCCUUUUUUUUUUUUCUUCUUUUGUGCGUGUGUGUGUUGAAUUGGACUGUACGAGCUAAGUUGAUUGCCUUCAGUACAGUAGAGUUACUUUCUAACACUAGUAAACUUUUUCGUUGCCAUCUGUUAGGGAUUUUAGGAAUAGCCUGCUGUCCCUGUACUGAAUUGCAAUUGUUGUCGUAGGUUGCGUAAGAGCAGCUGCGGGCAGCAAUGGAGUUCUCGCGGCCGGCGAAUCUCCGCUCAUAGUGUGCUUCGGAGAAAUGCUGAUCGAUUUUGUCCCGACCGUCAGCGGCUUGUCGUUGGCCGAAGCCCCCGCCUUCAAGAAGGCUCCCGGGGGUGCUCCUGCUAAUGUCGCCGUUGGCAUAGCUCGGCUCGGCGGUUCGUCGGCAUUUGUCGGGAAGGUGAUGCCCGGUAGAUAGUUCGUUUAUUUAUAUCAAAUUUAGGACACACCUUAUUCCUGCUUUCUUCGCGUUUGUAAGAAAUUUUUUCAAAUGUAAGUAAUUAUCUGUGAAAUCGUGGAUUACUCACUUUAUGCAAAAGAGCUACUUCUAUGGUUGUGAAUAUUGUCGAUCAUCUAAACUGUUUAUCUGCUAUCUUUCUCUCAUUUCUCGGUUUGUCCUGUUUGUUUCGUAACAUACGUAGGUCGGUGAAGAUGAGUUUGGCUACAUGUUGGCUGAUAUCUUGAAAGAGAAUAACGUGAACAACCAGGGCUUGCGGUUCGAUCCUGCUGCUCGAACAGCUUUGGCCUUUGUAACGUUACGAAGCGACGGCGAACGCGAGUUCAUGUUUUAUCGCAAUCCUAGCGCUGAUAUGUUGCUUGAAGUAAACGAACUUGACCUUGAUCUUAUAACAAAGGUAUGUGAUGAAUGAUGACCUUGAUCUUAUAAUUAGAGAGUUCCUACUAUAUAUACCUUACUUCUGUCGUGUAUGGUUUACACAGAAUUUACCUAUUUUAUAUUUAUAUAAUGUAAUUCUAACAUCUUGAUCAUUAAUAUCUGUUCUAGGCAAAGAUCUUCCAUUAUGGUUCUAUAAGCCUUAUAACUGAACCAUGUAAAUCGGCACACGUUGCAGCAGCUAAAGCUGCUAAAGAUGCUGGAGUGCUUCUGUCUUAUGAUCCAAAUCUGCGUCUACCGCUGUGGCCGUCGGCCGACAGUGCUAGAGAGGGAAUCUUGGGCAUAUGGGAAAUUGCUGAUAUUAUCAAGGUAGCUACUUUUCUAAUGCAGUGCUUCUUGAAAUAGUUUCUUGAUCUUAUUUAGCUCAAUGUAUUGGAAAUUUGCAAUAGAUCAGCGAAGAAGAGAUUUCCUUUCUGACGAAAGGAGAGGAUCCUUAUGAUGAUGCUGUUGUGCGAAAACUCUUCCAUCCAAAUCUUAAGUUGCUGCUAGUAACAGAGGGGCCGGAUGGUUGUAGGUACUAUUCCAAGGUAUGUAUUUGCCUAUGCAAUUUCUCAAAGCUCUUUGUUAUCGUUGUCUAAUUUCCACCAGUUUUGUUUCUCUGGUGCAAAACGAAAUAUAUAUAUAUAUAUAUAUAUAUAUAUAUAUAUAUAUAUAUAUGUCUACUUAUUACUGAGGAAAACAACAGAAGCAACUUGGAAGAAAAUUGAAAUUGUAAUUGAAAUUGACAUGGCUAUCCAUGAAAUCUCGUGUCCUCUUCCUUUGCUGGACUCAGUUUUUGCACUUUGCCGCCUGUGAUUAUACUUCUACAUUUUGUUAAUAAAGUUUUCAUUAUUAGAUGUCCAAAAUACCCAGUUAUAUGUCAGAAUAAGAUCAAACUAAUUGAAAAGCCAAAAGUACCAAUCUUAACAUAUAUGAUUUCAAAUAAUAUAGGAAUUUAGUGGGAGAGUAAGUGGACUAAAGGUGACAGCUGUGGACACUACUGGUGCUGGAGAUGCCUUUGUUGCUGGAAUACUAUCUGGAUUGGCCUCAGAUUUUUCAUUGCUCCAGGUAUUACUCUCUCUAACCUACAGUUGUACCAAAAUUCAUUUUUAUGUUAUGUUGAUGUUCUACAUUUCUGUUUCUUUUUUUUUUUAUUUUUAAGCAUAUAGUAUAUUGCAUGCAGCAACCACAGCUUAUUCUCUUCUAAAUUCUAACCUGUGAAGUGAUACUCUGAUCGAGACUUACUGGAACUAUCUUUGAAUAUUAACAGGAUGAAGGAAGGCUAAGAGAAGCUCUGAAAUUUGCAAAUGCUUGUGGAGCUCUCACUGUGAUGGAAAGAGGAGCAAUCCCUGCACUACCAACCCGUCAGGCCGUUCUCGAUGCAUUGGUUAACAUAAUUGCUUAAACUAUUGCUAGUUAUAAUCCCGGGCUCAUUCAUUGUUCGCGGCCUUGUAAAAUGAUUUAGCUUUUAGAGAACCAUAUAUUCAGUGAUUAAUUUUCAAUUGCAACUUCCCGACUUCCUGUUAAGAAACAAAACAGCUUUGCCGAAAAACUCGACCAUGUACUGUUGUACUCUAAAUUAGUAUCAAAAUAAGCUGUGGAUUGAGCUAGUCUUAUUUGUAAAUGGCAUUUGGUGUAGAGUGUGUGAAAAAUUAAAGCACCAUACUUGCUUAAUGACUUGGUUUGAGCUACUCUUAUUUGUAAAUGACAUUUGGCGUAGAGUGUGUAAAAACCUGAAGCACCAUACUUGCUUAAUGACUUAAUUGGGCCACACGCCAUAAUGCCCUUGAUUGCCUGGCAUAACAACAGUAAUACGGCUCCGAUUGACCAUUUAGUUUGAUUAAUUAUCGACCAUUUAGUUUGAUUAAUUAUUGAGCGCCUUUUCCACAUGUUAUGUGAUUAAUGAUUGCAUCUGGUGACUUAAAAUGGACAAUAUGAUGAUUCAAAACAACCUAAUAAUGGAUUAAUGCAAGUUAAAGGAAAGGUAUGUAUAAAAAUGACCAACAUUAGGAGAGGGAGGUAGCAGUGCCCCGUAAAGGGCCCAUAAAAGUUGGAGAGCACAUUUUUUGGAAUAUAUAUGGAAUAUAUAGCACUGUUCGCAUACAUAAAAGUGGGUGUGUAGAGCACAAUACUUAUCUAUAGAUACUGGAAACAGAGAAGAAGUGUUGGUUUCCACUCAUAAGAACCAGAUUCUUGCAAGACACAGUUACCAGAAGGCCAACACACGACAACAAAUAUUUUGGUGUACCCGAUCAAACGCAUCAUGCAACGUCUUUUAAACAUAAGAAACAUAAUCGCUUGUAUUUCAUUUGGUAGUAUUAAGAACUAGAUCAAUGUCGACAAAUUGAUAAUGGUUGCCCCCCUCCUCAACUAAAAAAGUGAUUAUCAACAAAUGAUUGAUAAUAUAUACCACCGGUGAGGUCGCCAAAUAAUAUCACUCGAGAAGCUUAUUGCAUGUCCCAACUCCAACCGCCGCCGCAAGGUGCCAUGCAGCAUGAAGAUAGGGGGUCUCGGGAAAGCAGUCGUCGGCGAAAAAUAGUGCACCUCCUAAUAGAGAGGAAACUGUGUGAAGGUUAUGAGCCAUUCUGAGCGCUGGUUUCUCCAGUGCUUUUCUUGCGAAGGCUACCUGAAAAACACCAAGUCAACAGAUUAUUAAGAAUCUCAAGAAAGCAAACCGUUGAUGUAACCAUCGUCUGUAAAGAGAUGUGAGCUGCUUAUCAGCAGAAACAUUAAGGAAUAGAUGCAGUUCCAAUGGGAAACUGUUGAAUUUCUAUUGAUAAAACAUAAGAAUAGAUGCUUUAUUAUGACUUGCCUCCAUCAUGCCUGUGUGGACAGCUGAAACCAUCAAAGGUUGAAAUGGUAAAAGCAAUGUUGAUGCGGCCAUUAGUACUUUUGGGUUCUCUUCCCUGAGUGCCCUUGAUAGACACUGCACAGAACGAUUGUCUAGUAAGGUACAGGAAGAAAAGGUAACUCGCCCCUCAAUUGAAACUUCCCGUUCGGGAUAAAUAAUAGUAAAAGUUAUUAUGAGGCUCUUUCAGCGAAACAAAUCGAUUCUUUGCCAUUCCUAGAAAAUACAUGUAUGCCCGCUAAGCCACUACAUAGGAACAUAGGAACAACUUAAGAAGCCAAAAACAUAUGAACACGUUUGAUUCUAGCUUAUAUUUUAGGCUAGGCAGGUUUAAUGAACUGAUACCAAAUGCUUUAGAGACCUUUUUCUGCUUAAUUAUCUUCUCUCUUAUGUAUCGAUAGCAGCGAAACAAAAAUAAGAAAAUGUAUGUUUGCGCACUCUCAUGUUCUUGUGCACUCUCAUGUUCUUGCGCAUUCUCAUGUUCAAGGAAUUCAUUUAGAUCGUUGACCAUUUUUUCAGAGGAAACUCCUCAAAUAUGCACAACCAGUUGGUAAGCGUAUCAAACUUACAAGUGAAGCUGCAGCAAUCAUUGUAUAGUCUGCCCAUCUCAGAUAUUUUCUAACUUCUCCCCUUGAAGAAUGAUAUAAGCUUGAUGCGAUCCCCACUCCAACAAGCGAAUUAGCAUAUAAUGCAGUAUUCAAGUUCUUCCUGCAGCACUGAUAGGUAAUUCGUCAGUCGAUAGUGGUAUAAAGAAACAAACGAGGGUGGGGUAUACAACUAAAGGCAUUCUAAUACGAAUAAAUUUUGAAAAGGAACUUGCCGUGGAGCCCGAAGUCCGAGAAAUAUGAAAGGCAUUGAGGUCAAGACAUUUGCAAUAGUUUCCCCGAUAUGACUAUCGCCUGAUACAGGAGAUAUAUACGCAUGUCAAAGCUGAUGCAUAAAAGAAAUUGUUGGAUGUGCGCACCAAUAACGGCCUAAGUAGAAAAUACCUUGCAGACUACAUUUGAUGGGCCUCAAGCACGACGGCCUCUGCUGCCAUAGUUGCCUGAGGAAACAUGUCAUACAUUACCCUGUUAGUUAUAUUUACAUAAGAUAUGUACAAAUAGUCCAAGACACACUCGAAAAUUGCAACUAAGUUCAAUUGUAAAUGAAGAACAACUCACCUGAUUAACAAUCCUUGGCUUAUUCCGACAAUCCCCGACCCAUCACAAGCUGAUUGAUCAAAGCCGCCUUGGCGAAGAUCCUCAUCCUCUCUGUAAGAUGAUCGAUUCACAACUUGUACCCCAUGGAGCCCUUCUAAAACUCUGGGCAUUGAUGCAUCUUUGAUGCCCAUUUAUACACUCGAUGGCAAGCAACCCAAUCUAAUUUCUUAUUGGCUGGUUGUCUCAUACGGCAGUUAGAUUAUCUGCACAUGCACAAAGAAAACGACACAAAAGGUUUGGUACAAAUAACAUGUGCAAUAGUCACUCUCUGAAAACUUCAAAAUCGACUUUAGGAAGCAAAAAUCGAUCACCAGCGAGAACAGUUCAAGUUCGUCUAUGCCCCACUCAAUGUGGCGUGCAAUCACAUUAUAUAGCCCUUAGGCGGAUACAUCUGUAAUUGACUCAGGAUCAUUCUUAACAGGUGUUGGUUGGCACUCAACACGCCACUUUUUUUAUCCAGGAAUAUUAGAUGCGCAGAUUAAAUCUGUUUCGUUUUUACUUAAUAAAUAGUGAACUCCAGUUUCAUAAUGUAUAAUUAGCGAAAUUCCAAUUUUGGUCCUCUUCUGGUUGAGUAAGGCUCUAACUAAGUAACCUAAGAUUUUCAAGCCCAAAUAACCAGAUAAAAUAUCACUAUCCUUGUCCUUAAAGAUGCAAGCACAUGUUCCUACUUUUGAUGAGAACUAUUGUCGAAGAGUAAAAUCCAGCAUAAACAUAAUGGAAUUAGGCUCUACGGAAUCGAUUCAAGCUGAAAUAGUCACAAUGCCAGAGAAGCACCAAAAUUGUCGGAUAAUUUUGCCCUUAGAUUUGCACAAGAUUCAAUAAAAGAGCAAAAAAUUACUAAAGAUAAUAGGAAAAAAAAAAAAGCCUGAAAUUGAUACAUACAAUCAACAUUAAUCAGGAGAACUCAAAACCCUUGCUCUAUGAAAUCAAAUCCAAUCCCCCGAAAAAUAAGAAUUUUCUUACGAUUCUUUAUACUUAAAAAGAAAUCAUAAUCAUAAUCAUAAAAUAAGAGAAGUAAAAAAAAAAAAAAAAAAAAAAAAAAACCUGAAGAGGAGGGCGGAGAAGCAGCUUAUCGUCACCGCGCGGCUUCGGCUUUUUCUCGCAGCGAAAACAUAGGUUAAUUUGUUAAAAUAGAACAUUUUCUUUAUAGAACGAAGUUUAUAAUAAAAUUAGUAUCUUAUUUUGAAGUAACUUUUUUUUUCUUCACAUCAAGAAAACGUCUAUCUGUUAAUUUAAAGGAUUCAAAAUACGGAAGAAAGAAUUUGAAGCAAACUCUAACGCAGUGCACGCCACUCUUUCAUACUAACUUUUUAUAAAACUAACAUAAAACAUGCAUUAUAACGCAAGAUAUAUAACACUACUCGGCCAAUAUUAUAUAAAAAAUGCCGAGAUAGCCUCUUGCAUUUUCAUAUAGGGAUAUAUAUAAAAAAAGAUUGAAAUAAAAUAGAUUAUCGCAGUUUAUUUGGAGUUAUGGUUUGAUUUGUAAAGGAAAAAAAAAAGGUCGAAAUAAUAGAGAGCCGAUAUUUUUAGCACCCUGUAAGAGCUCUAAUGCGAUGCGAAGCAGUCCAGACUAUAACCAAAUUGGUUGGUGUUGUGCGGUGCAAUAUUAGUCUAAAUCUCUGGCGUAUCCUGAGUGUGUCGGCCCAACGCAACCGUGAAGUAUGCCCCGCUUAGUUUAGGGGAGGAGACGGCUUAGGCGUCUCUCUCUCCCUCCCUUUGCAGCUUCGCUAUCUCAUCGCCCUCCCUUAACCCCUUAUAGGCAUAUUAAGGGGGCGCAUUCUAGGAAAGCCUUAGGCGUAGCAAAGAGGCUAAGGGAGGGGGGGGAGAGAGAGAAAUAUAUAUGAGCAGGGGGUGCGUAGGGGCNAUAAAAUUGUUUAAUUGGAUACUAAUAAUAUUUUGUAUAUAUAUACAUAAAAGUAUGGAGAAUUUUAUAAUUAGAUGUUAAAAGUGAUGUAUGAUUCAUUUAUUUCAGAUUGCAUAAAAAAUUAAAAAUACCGAUAAAAUGGUGGGUCAUUUACUGCUUAUCACAAGGGUUAAGAUCGACCAAAUAUAAAAAUUUAAUGAUAAUUACAAAAAAAAAAAGCCUAUUUAAAUACACAUGCAAAUAGUCAGUGGAUAUAUCAAAUAUAAAUAUAUAGAUAAAUCUGUUUGGAAGAUCAUAUUCAGGUUCAUGGCAGUUAGUUACAUUCUUAUUGAUGUACAUGCCGGGUGAACACAAACCAAUUUUUAAAUUAAUACUCCUAUAAUUUGAAAUUGUGUAGAUUGCAUAUUUGUGUAAACGCAUACUAAUCGUAUUCCCCAUGAGAGUGCGCUGAGAAAAGAUACUUGACAUUAUAAUUUUUUAAAUUUUAUAUAUAUAGUUCGACUACUACAUUCUUAUGAGUAUAGGUACUUCUUUGUUGUUGAAGCAUAAAAAAAAAAGGGGGAAGAAGAAGAAAAAAAGGAGCAAGAAAAAAGAUAGAAAGAGAGAAAAUUUGAAUAAUGGUGUAUGAGAUGAUCCAUACACUACGCAUGGAAAAAUUCGAGUUUAAAUUUUGAGUCUGGUGCAUAGGUUAAUCCAUGCACCAGGUGCAUAGAUUAUAAAAAGUGGGAUGUCCUCGUAGGCAUGAAUGGAUAUUACAAAUAGCAAAUUAGUCCUUUCCCUUUCAUAUGCUCCUUCAAACAUAUAAUAUUCUGUUAUUUUAACUAAGAUAUAAUAUAAACAAAUGGGAAUGACUAAUAUGUAAUUUAAUACCUAUGAUCCCAUAAUCCUACAUCGUAACUUCCCACAAACCUCACCAUAUGCACUUCCAUACGCACAUUCUCCCGGGUAGUUAGACUAGACCCAUAAAUAUCUCUCAAUGAGAAAAGAAAAAGAGGACACAGAUUUGAACCUUCAAACAUAUUCCUAAACAAAAAAAUCCAUCCCAUCCCCCUGUUCACGAAAGAGAAAAAGAAAGGUAUAAUAUUUUUUUCUUCACCAUUAAUGCCACAAUCAAAGCUCUCUCUCUCCCUCCUAAAAAGUAAAAAAAAAAUAAAAAAUAAAAGAAAAAGAAAAGAGGGGCCCUCUGUAUGUCCACCCUCAUCAAGCCCCUCCUUCCCGCUCCGCCCACUCCCCCAAGCUCCUCCGCGGCCUCCGCGACUGCAUCGACUCCGACGUCGCCGCGAUCCUCCGCACCGCCCACUCCAUCAAGGCGCAGCUCGAAGCCCUCGACGACUCCAACGCCGCGAACCGUGCCCUCUCCCCGCGCUUCGCCGCGGGGAUCUCCGUCGACCGCACCAGGAUUUCGGUUACCCACGGGAUCAGGGCGAAGCUUCGCGACGCCAUGAUCGGGUUCCAGAAGCUCAGGAAGACGAUCCUCUCCGACCACAAGGAGACCCUGAAGCAAAACUACUACAACGCCACGGGAAAGCUCGCCUCCGACAAGGUGCUCGACGAAAUGCUCAAGUGGAGCGGCGACCCCAUGGAUCCGCGGUGGCCGUGGUCACCAUCAACCGCCCGGGCGCGCUCAACUCGCUCACGCGCCCCAUGAUGGUCGCGCUCGCAGGCGCGUUCCGCCGCCUCGACGCCGACGCCGGGCGCGGCCGCGCCUUCUGCUCCGGCGUCGACCUCACCGCCGCCGAGGAUGUCUUCAAGGGCGACGUCAAGGACCCCGCCGCCGACCCCGUCGCCGCCAUGGCCGUGUGCCGCAAGCCCAUCGUCGGCUCCAUCGCCGGAUUCGCCGUCACCGCCGGGUUCGAGAUCGCCCUCGCCUGCGACUUGCUCGUCGCGGGCGGCGACGCCAAGUUGGUCGACACCUCGCCAACCCCUGCGCUGCCAAAGCCGUCCGAUCCUCACCGAUCCUGCGCUGCCGAAGCCGCCCGAUCCUCGCCGAUCCUGCGCCGCCGAGGCCGCCUGCUCCUCGCCGACCCCUGCGCCGCCGAAGCCGCCUGCUCUUUCGCCGAGCGCCUCGUCGCCUUCGCCUGCGUCGAGGGCUUCUUCUCCGGCUCCUGCUGAGCCAUCUUCUGGCUCAAGAAGCGUGGCCUCAUGCCCGGGCUCACCUUCUCCAACGAGCUCAUCUCCCGCGACGAGGGCCUCCACUGCGACUUCGCUUGCCUCCUCUACUCCCUCCCAGGGCUGGCAAACGAGCGAGCCGGCUCGCGUUCGACUCGUGUUCGGGUCGAUAUUCGACUCGCUCGAGCUCGACUCGAAAUUGAAUGAGCCGAGCUUGAACAAAAUAAAAGGCUCGAAAUUCAUUUCAAGCCGAGCUUGAGUAUUACUCGGCUCGUUCGAAUUAGGCUCGAAAAGCUCGAAAAGCUCGAAUAUAUAUAUAUAUAUAUAUAUAUAUAUGUAGUAUAUAUAGAGUAAUGUAUAUAGAUAUAUAUAUUAUUUAUAUAAGGUAAAUACUAUCUAUAUAGUGCAGCUAUGGUGCUUGUACAAGCACCAAGCACUUGGUGCUUGUAAGUUUUGUACCGUUAGAUCUACUCCUUUGAUUAUUUCCAACCAUUAGAUUAUACUAUUCAACCAAUCAUUCCACUCAACCCUAGGGGGCCCACAUCAUCCUAAUUGCAUAUCUCUUAAUUCAAUGGCUAAAAAUUUACAAGCACCAAUAACUUGAUACUUUUAAAAGUAUCAAAGCUCAAUUCUCUCUCUCUCUCUCUCUCUCUCUCUCUCUCUCUCUAUAUAUAUAUAUAUAUAUAUAUAAUGUAUUUUAAUUAUAUAUAGGCUUUAAUUUAAUUUGGACUAUUAUUGUUUGCCCAUAAAAUAAACCCAACAAGUACAACCAUGCAAUUGAGCCCAACUCUAAAUUUACAUAACACACUCUCUCUUUCAGACUUUCACUAUUGCACAUAAUACUAAAACAUGAUAACAUUCAAAUUCUCAAAUCCCUAAUUUUUUUUCCCCUCUCUCUCUCUCUCCUUCUCCCUCAGACCCUCACCCAGUCAGGCAGUCACCCUAGCUCACAUUUCUUGCAAUUAUUUUGUAUUUUGAACUAUUGAACAUAUUGCAUCAAAUUGUAGGUAAUGUUAUAUAAAAAUUAAACUAUUGAUUAUAUAAUGUCGGGAAUUUCAAUAGGCUCGUUUAGAGCUCGAGCUCGGCUCGACUCGAAAUUAGGCUCGCUCGAGCUCGGCUCGAAUUAAUUUCAAGCCGAGCUUGAGCCUAGAUUUAGGCUCGAAAUUAAUUUCAAGCCGAAUUUGAGCUGACAUAAGCUCGCUCGAGCUCGGCUCGUUUCCACCCCUACUCCCUCCUUCGCUCCGCGGCGGCGCGCAACCCGCGCACGCUCGACGAGACCCUCAGCGCCGCCGACGCCGAUCCCUUCAACAGGAAGCUCUUUGUCCACGGCCUUGGGUGGGAAACCACCUCCGAGGGGCUCCGCGCCGCGUUCGCCCGAUACGGCGAGAUCGAGGAUUGCCGUGUUGGUUUCAUCCAAUUCCGUCACCGGAGCUCGGCGAGCCGCGCCCUCCGCGAACCCCAGAGGCUCAUCGACAACUGCAUGACCGCGGGCCAGCUCGCCUCCACCAAACUCACCCCCGCACUGAACCAACUCGUCACCGCUCACCAGGUGUUCGAUCUGUGGCCACAAUGAGCCAUGGCGUCGGUCCAGGCUGUGGCGCUCAAGGCGGAGCACGCGUAGGCGGUGGACGCGCUGCAGAAUGCGCCGCAAUUGGUGUGCGGCGGCAGGCGGCCUGUGGACGCCAACAGCGAGCUCUUGGCCGCCGGCACUUUCGUUGACACCUGCCAGGACUCGUUCGACGAGUUCCUAGACGUCGACGGUUCGCACCUCGCAAACGUGCAGCAGGCUCGCCAAUAACAACAUCAGCCUCGCCGCUUACAAGGCCGCCUAGGAUGUUGCUAUGACGGAGUUGGCGCCAACGAAUCAUGCCUACCAAUUGUUUGACGAAAUGCCCAUGACACAUCUUUCGACGGCGAAUCCAAUCUGUACAUAAAGAGAGAGAGCGGUGCUCUUCUCUUUAUAAAAAAAUGUGUUAUUAAAAGAGAAAGAGCGGUGUUCUUCUCUUUAUAAACAAUAUAGCAUCAUCGAAAGAGAGAGAAAGCGGUGCUCUUCUCUUUGCAAAACAAAAAAAUAUUAUCAAAAGAGAGAAAGAGAUUACUUCUCUAAUUAUGAAGGAGAGAGGGAGCUUUGUUACAAAAAGAGAGGCGAUGAAGAGAUUUUCCCACCUUAGUUGUCCCAUGAAUGUAAAAGAGACAAAAGAAGAUCUAUCUUUGUUGUCUUAUAUUUUCAAAGGAGAUAAAGAGAAAAAAUGUGUUCUCUUAAUUCUCCUACAAUGAAGAGACAAAAGAAAAUUAGUCGGAUUACCGAUUAAUAUUCUUUUGAUCGUCCUUUUAUUGGAAGAACAAUGUAAUGUUCGAAAAUAAUCGAACUCUUUGAUUCUAUCCAAAGUUGAAUCUUUCGAUUUGGUCGAAUUAGACCAAAUUGAGAUUUAAUCGCAUUAGACAUUUUAUGUGAUUCACGACUGAGAAUUUGACAAAUAAAAAAAUGCAUUCGAAAUUUUUAAGCUAUGAAUUUGAUUCUGAAUCUUACAAUCUCAUAUGAUCCCAAAUUAACCACCUCAAAACAAUGGACCAAGCCCGUUCUCACCUCAAAUCUCAUAACCCAAGCUCAACAUGACCCAAGUUCAGCCCAAACAUAAAUUUGGGCCCAAUUCUAUGACUUGCUUAAAAGAAAAUUUGGACUUAUGCCAUACGGGCCUAAAUUGAGCCCAAGCCCACAUGUAAUUCAAACCUCCACCUGAAUCCAUAUUAAACGGGCCUAAACUGGGCCUAUGCCUAUAUCCAGAACUUAAAAUUUAAUUCAGGCCUCAACUUGAGUCCAUACCAUAUAGGCCUGGAUCUAGUCCAUGUUGGAAUGCAACUAUAUGGACCCAAAUUUGGACCAUGAAUGAAUCCAUCCGAGAGUUGAACCAUAACUUGAAGCUAUACCUAGCCCAAGUUUGAAUUCCAAACUGGUUCAUAAAAAUGGCUAAAUCGAAUAAAAUCUAAAUUGAAAACCAAUUCAGACCAACAUCAAACCCAAAAAUCUAACCCAAACCAAGACCUUAAAUCAUGCCUAUCAGAUCAAAUAUGAAACCAAACUCUACCAAUUUGUUAAGGGCAAAUCUUUUUAAUCCAAUUCUCUAGCAUAUUAAGCUAGAGUCAUAUUGUUAUCACAUUCAUAUUAGAUCAAAUUCUAAAAUAUUUGUUUAGAAUUGAUCAAACCAUCUAUUAGGUUUCACCUAAUCAGUUCAAUUGAACUCUAAUACACUUACUUAGAGUUCAAAUAAAUGAAAUUGAAUUAGACUCUAAUACAUACACUUAGAGUUUAAUUUAAAUUACAUUUGACUAAUCCUAAUAUAUAUAACCAGGAUUUAGUUGAUAUUUUACCUCAUGGUGAACCCAAAUUAGUCUCUAAUACAUACACUUAGAGUUUAAUUUAAGUUAAGUUAUAUUUUGACUAAUCCUAACAUAUAUAACUAGGAUUUAAUUGAUAUUUCAUCUCAUGGUGAACCCAAAUUAGACUCUAAUACAUACACUUAGAGUUUAAUUUAAAUCAAAUUUUGACUAAUCCGAUUUAGUUAAUAUUUCACCUUAUGGUGAACUCAAUGUGAGGUGUAAUUAAGCUCAAACAUAUAAGCAUAGAGCUUAAUUACAUUAGACUCUAAGAUAUAAAAUUAGAGUCUAAUUCGAAAUAUUUGGACUAAUUCUAACACAUACAUUUAGGAUGAAAGCUUAAAUCAAUUUAAUCAAAUCAAACUCUAAUGCACCUAACUAGGGUUUAAUUUGAAUCAAAUCCGAUUAAGUCCCAAUGCAUAUACAUGAAAUUUAAUCAAUCCCUCACCUAUGGUGAACAAUAUUGUUGAGCACUGAAACAUAUAGAGCCCAAUCAAAUCAAUUUGAUCAUACACUUUGAUUCAGAAUCAAGUUCAAUCAACCGUCAUAUUCAUUCAUGUACAUUGGGGGUAUGCCCCUGGUUAAGCCAUGUAACUAUACAAUGGAUUAUGUUAUAAAAUCCACCUUUUAUUCAAUUUCAGUCUAUUUCAGCAUUACAGAGGUCUCUUAAUCGAAGGUGUCCUAACACUUUGAAGGGAUAAUUAACAAUAAACGCUUGCGUUUAUUGGAAGCCAUGAAUCCACAAUACCUGAUAACCAUAUAUAAUUAAAUCUUAAUCUGAAUCAUGAAUACUACCCCAUGGGAAUUUGAAAAUAAGAUUAACCGUGCAAGGUGUGUCAUUCGUGGUCGCAGACAUUUGUAUUCAUAAGUUUUCAGUCGUUAGAUUUACCUUUUUGACCAUUUUCAUCCGUUAGAUUAUAAUAUUCAACAAACCACUCGCUCAACCCUAGGAGACCACUAUCAUCCUAACUGCACAUCCCUUCAUCCAACAGUUGAAGACUUAUGAGCACAAAGUAAAUUAUACUUAUAAGAGUAUAGUAGCCCUACUUUCUCUCUCUCUCUCUUUAU
RNAcentral lists this long non-coding RNA (17611 nucleotides) under Ananas comosus (pineapple). Its description in RNAcentral is "long non-coding RNA (ACOM_LNC004443)". Lineage: Eukaryota; Viridiplantae; Streptophyta; Magnoliopsida; Poales; Bromeliaceae. The record is from RNAcentral.